UGGUUGUUUUACGAACUGACUCCGAAUUAGAGGACAAAACGGUCCGAAAGUGGGAAAAAUUUUUGACGGUGGCUAGAAAUUGAUGGAAACGGUGGGGAAAAAUACACGAACUGGACUCUAACAAGACCUAACCAACAACAAGACCUCGACUAGGACACAAACUCAACACUGCGGACUCUGAAACUGAAAUAUGCAAAGGCUAUGACGCGGAAGGGUUGUAGGACAAGAAAACGAUAUGGCACUGGACUUAUGGGACGAACACAAGAGCACUCGGAACUAAAGUGUAGAUGUGAACUUAACGGUAUACCUGAAGCUUUGAUUACCACUUGAUGAGAACAAGGGUGGCCCGAUCUUCCGAAAGCUUAUGGUAACUCUCGAUUUGGCGGAGACGAGACACAAAUCGAUUCGGCUUCCAAACAACACAAUCCAAAAUCCUACUAUUUUUUAUUUUUUUAUAUUUUUCUUUUACUUAGGAGCAAUAAAGAAGUAACCACAGAAAAUUUAAGCUUAAACAAGUGAAAGACGUGGCUUGCGGAAAUUUCUGAAGAUUGUGAAAAAUGUGAAAAAAAUUCACGAGGUGAAAACUCAAACUUUAGAGGUGAAUUUGGAGAUUCUAAAAUUUUCAAACCCACCAAUGGUAGAGACAGACAGAUCCAAAUUUUUUCUGAUCGAUUUUUAUAUAUGGAACAUUGAAAUCGGAGUUCGUAUGUGAAAGUUAUGCUUGUUUUACGAACGGACUCCGAAUUAGAGGACAAAACGGUCCGAAAGUGGGAAAAAUUUUCGGCGGUGGCUAGAAAUUGAUGGAAACGGUGGGGAAAAAAUACACGAACUAGACUCUAAUAAAACCUAACCAACAACAAGACCUCGACUAGGACACAAACUCGACACUGCGGACUAUGAAACUAAAAUAUGCAAAGGCUCUGGCACGGAAGGUUGUAGGACAGGAAAACGAUAUGGCACUAGACUUAUUGGACGAACACAAGAACACUCGAAACUAAGGGUAGCUGUGAACCUAAUGAUAUACCUAAAGCUGAUUACCACUGGAUGAGAACAAACGGUGGCCCGAUCUUCCCAAAGGUUCUGGUAACUCUCGAUUUGGCGGAUACGAGAUACAAAUCGAUCUGGGUUCCAAACAACACGAUCCGAAAUCCUGCAAUUUUUCUAAAUUUUUUUUAUAUAUUUCUUUUACUUAGAAGCACUAAAGAAGUAACCACAGAAAAUUUGAGCUUAAACAAGUGAAAGACGUGGCCUGCAGAAUUUUUGGAAGAUUGUGAAAAAUGUGAAAUAAACUUCACGAGGUGAAAACUGAAACUUCAGAGGCGAAUUUGGAGAUUCUAAAAUUUUCAAACCCACCAAUGGCAGAGACAGACAGAUCCAAACUUUUUUUCUGACCAAUUUUGAUAUAUGGAACAAUGAAAUCGGUGUUCGUAUGUGAAAGUUAUGGUUAUUUUAAGAACGGACUGGCAAAACGGUCCGAAAGUGGGAAAAAAUUGCGGCGGUGGCUAGAAAUUGAUGGAAACGGUGGGGAAAAAUACACAAACUGGACUCUAACAAGACCUAACCAGCAACAAGCCCCCAACCAUGACACAAACUCGACACUGCGGACUCUGAAACUGAAGUAUGCAGAGGCUAUGGCGCGGAAUGGUUGUAGGGAAGAAAAACGAUAUGGCACUAGACGUAUGGGACGACCACAAGAACACUCAAAACUAAGGAUAGAUGUGAACCUAAUGGUAUACCUGAAGCUUUGAUUACCACUUAAUGAGAACAAGGGUGACCCGAUCUUUCGAAACGUUCUGGUAACUCUUGAUUUGGUGGAGACGAGACACAAAUCGAUCUGGCUUCCGAACAACACGAUCCAAAAUCCUGCAAUUUUUUUUUUGAUAUUUUUCUUUUCUUAGGAGCAAUAAAGAAGUAACCACAGAAAACUUGAGCUUAAACAAGUGAAAGACGUGGAGUGCAGAAAUUUCUGAAGAUUGCGAAAAAUGUGAAAAAAAAUCACGAGGUGGAAACUCAAACUCUGGAGGCGAAUUUGUAGAUUCUAAAAUUUUCAAACCCACCAAUGGCAGAGACAGACAGAUCCAAAAAAUUUUUCUGACAGAUGUUGAUAUAUGGAACAUUGAAAUCGGUGUUCGUAUGCGAAAGUUAUGGUUGUUUUACGAACUGACUCCGAAUUAGAGGACAAAACGGUCCGAAAGUGGGAAAAAUUUUUGACGGUGGCUAGAAAUUGAUGGAAACGGUGGGGGAAAAUACACGAACUGGACUCUAACAAGACCUAAUCAACAACAAGACCUCAACUAGGACACAAACUCAACACUGCGGACUCUGAAACUGAAAUAUGCAAAGGCUAUGACGCGGAAGGGUUGUAGGACAAGAAAACGAUAUGGCACUGGACUUAUGGGACGAACACAAGAGCACUCGGAACUAAAGGGUAGAUGUGAACUUAACGGUAUACCUGAAGCUUUGAUUACCACUUGAUGAGAACAAGGGUGGCCCGAUCUUCCGAAAGCUUAUGGUAACUCUCGAUUUGGCGGAGACGAGACACAAAUCGAUUCGGCUUCCAAACAACACAAUCCAAAAUCCUACUAUUUUUUAUUUUUUUAUAUUUUUCUUUUACUUAGGAGCAAUAAAGAAGUAACCACAGAAAAUUUAAGCUUAAACAAGUGAAAGACGUGGCUUGCGGAAAUUUCUGAAGAUUGUGAAAAAUGUGAAAAAAAUUCACGAGGUGAAAACUCAAACUUUAGAGGUGAAUUUGGAGAUUCUAAAAUUUUCAAACCCACCAAUGGUAGAGACAG
Molecule: long non-coding RNA, 2792 nt
Filed under: Sorghum bicolor (sorghum)
Lineage: Eukaryota; Viridiplantae; Streptophyta; Magnoliopsida; Poales; Poaceae
Description: long non-coding RNA (SBIC_LNC012773)
Source: RNAcentral